Podarcis lilfordi (Lilford's wall lizard) is the source of this 73-nucleotide non-coding RNA. The record is from the annotation of a GenBank genome assembly. NCBI's taxonomy places the organism in Eukaryota, Metazoa, Chordata, Lepidosauria, Squamata, Lacertidae.
AGCUGGAUAGCUCAAUUGGUACAGUAUGAGACUCUUAAUCCCAAGGUUGUGGCUUCAAGCCCCAUGUCGGGUG